This 438-nucleotide long non-coding RNA is filed under the name Physcomitrium patens. RNAcentral describes it as "long non-coding RNA (PPAT_LNC003387)". The record is from RNAcentral. Lineage: Eukaryota; Viridiplantae; Streptophyta; Bryopsida; Funariales; Funariaceae.
UAAUAUAUAAUUUAUUCUUAAGCUUUACUAUAAAAAAAUAAAUUAUAAAUCUACUACAAAUUAUCUCGCAUCUUAAAAAUUCUAGCAUGUAUUUUAAAUCCUAAUUUACAAGCAUUCAAACACUAUUUUUUCAUAUCUCAAUAAUCCAAACUCUGAAUACUAAAAAUUUUAUGUAUAAAGUUUAUUAAUAUGAUAAUAUACAUUCUUGAAAAAAUUUAGUCAAAAUCUUAUCAAAUCGCUCAAGAUAUAGCUUGAAUCACAACCAUUAGUAAAUCAGAUGACUUACUGCCUUUAGAUUGCAAGCACUGACUUCAACUUCAUGUAACUCCUUCAUCUUAGCUUAGAAUUCAUCAAGUAAUACAUAAAAAGUGUAGCCAAAUUUUUUUUUUCUCCAAUCCUAGUUGUUGAUAUUUCAUUUCUUUCGGUAUAUGUACAUUA